GAUAAACGCUGGCGGCGUGCUUCAGGCAUGCAAGUCGAACGGGUGCUAGCUUUCGGGCUAGUACUAGUGGCGGACGGGUGAGUAACACGUAAGCAAUCUGCCCGGUAGUGGGGAAUAACUAGCCGAAAGGCUGGCUAAUACCGCAUGUGAUGGUUUGUCUUUGGAUGGAUCAUGAAAGGCGUAAGUCGCUACCGGAGGAGCUUGCGGCCGAUUAGCUAGUUGGUGAGGUAAUGGCCCACCAAGGCAACGAUCGGUAGCUGGUCUGAGAGGACGGUCAGCCACACGGGGACUGAGAUACGGCCCCGACUCCUACGGGAGGCAGCAGCUAGGAAUCUUGGGAAUGGGCGAAAGCCUGACCCAGCAACGCCGCGU
This 372-nucleotide ribosomal RNA is filed under the name uncultured bacterium. RNAcentral describes it as "bacterial SSU rRNA". It matches the Rfam family "Bacterial small subunit ribosomal RNA", at positions 28 to 402 of the family's 1533-position model. The record is from RNAcentral.